ACGGAAGGCAGCAGUAGGGAAUCUUCGGCAAUGGGGGCAACCCUGACCGAGCAGCGCCGCGUGAGUGAAGAAGGUUUUCGGAUCGUAAAGCUCUGUUGUAAGAGAAGAACGUGUGUGAGAGUGGAAAGUUCACACAGUGACGGUAACUUACCAGAAAGGGACGGCUAACUACGUGCCAGCAGCCGCGGUAAUACGUAGGUCCCGAGCGUUGUCCGGAUUUAUUGGGCGUAAAGCGAGCGCAGGCGGUUUAAUAAGUCUGAAGUUAAAGGCAGUGGCUUAACCAUUGUUCGCUUUGGAAACUGUUAGACUUGAGUGCAGAAGGGGAGAGUGGAAUUCCAUGUGUAGCGGUGAAAUGCGUAGAUAUAUGGAGGAACACCGGUGGCGAAAGCGGCUCCCUGGUCUGUAACUGACGCUGAGGCUCGAAAGCGUGGGUAGCAAACAGGAUUAGAUACCCUGGUA
RNAcentral lists this ribosomal RNA (459 nucleotides) under uncultured Streptococcus sp. RNAcentral's name for it is "partial 16S ribosomal RNA". It matches the Rfam family "Bacterial small subunit ribosomal RNA", at positions 341 to 792 of the family's 1533-position model. The record is from RNAcentral. Lineage: Bacteria; Bacillati; Bacillota; Bacilli; Lactobacillales; Streptococcaceae.